This 72-nucleotide transfer RNA is filed under the name Rhodococcus phage NiceHouse. RNAcentral describes it as "tRNA-Glu". It matches the Rfam family "tRNA". Rfam says of the family: Transfer RNA (tRNA) molecules are approximately 80 nucleotides in length. Their secondary structure includes four short double-helical elements and three loops (D, anti-codon, and T loops). Lineage: Duplodnaviria; Heunggongvirae; Uroviricota; Caudoviricetes. The record is from RNAcentral.
GCCCUAUUAGUGUAAUGGCAACAUCUCAGAUUCUCAAUCUGAAGUCGACGGAUCGUAACCGUCAUAGGGUAC